This 476-nucleotide ribosomal RNA is filed under the name uncultured anaerobic ammonium-oxidizing bacterium. Its description in RNAcentral is "bacterial SSU rRNA". It matches the Rfam family "Bacterial small subunit ribosomal RNA", at positions 364 to 832 of the family's 1533-position model. The record is from RNAcentral.
UUUCGCAAUGCCCGAAAGGGUGACAAUGCGACGCCGCGUGAGCGAUGAAGGCCUUCGGGUUGUAAAGCUCUUUCAGCAGGGAUGAAGGCAGAACGGUUAAUAGCCGUUCUGCUUGACGGUACCUGUAGAAGAAACCACGGCUAACUCCGCGCCAGCAGCCGCGGUAAUACGGAGGUGGCAAGCGUUGUUCGGAUUUACUGGGUGUAAAGGAUGUGUAGGCGUCUUUUUAAGUCGGGUGUGAAAUCCCAUGGCUCAACCAUGGAACUGCACUCGAUACUGGAAGGAUUGAGUACGAGAGAGGUAAGCGGAAUUCCAGAAGUAAGGGUGAAAUCUGUAGAUAUCUGGAAGAACACCAUUAGCGAAGGCGGCUUACUGGCUCGAUACUGACGCUGAAAUAUGAAAGCUUGGGGAGCAAACAGGAUUAGAUACCCUGGUAGUCCAAGCUGUAAACGAUGGGCACUAAGUAGAGGGGUUUU